This 210-nucleotide ribosomal RNA is filed under the name uncultured Glomus. RNAcentral describes it as "partial small subunit ribosomal RNA". It matches the Rfam family "Eukaryotic small subunit ribosomal RNA", at positions 591 to 808 of the family's 1831-position model. The record is from RNAcentral. Lineage: Eukaryota; Fungi; Glomeromycota; Glomeromycetes; Glomerales; Glomeraceae.
CCAAUAGCGUAUAUUAAAGUUGCUGCAGUUAAAAAGCUCGUAGUUGAAUUUCGGGAUCAAUAUGUUGGUCGUGCCUUGGUACGUACUAGCUUUUUGAUUUCUCCCUUCUGACGAACUAUGAUGUCAUUAAUUUGGUGUCAUGGGGAAUCAGAACUGUUACUUUGAAAAAAUUAGAGUGUUUAAAGCAGGCUCACGCUUGAAUACAUUAGC